CGCUCCCCCAUCCACAAGCGCACGACAACUUCUCCCAAAUCCACCGCUCCGUUGAUCCGCGGCACCGGCCGCCGCACCGCACUCCGCGAGCGCCUGCUCAUUUCCCCAGCUGACGUCGCGGGCCAAGGUGACGGAUCUGACAGGCUGCUCCCCCGCCCCAGAUUUUCGCUCGCCGAAUCCGUCAGCUCCCUGCCGCAAUCGUCUCCGCGGUCGCCACGAUGCUCGACUCCGGCGACCUCCUUCCGGCCUCUCGCGACAAGUCCGUGUCCGUGUUGGUCACCUUCGCAUCCUCCGAAGGCGAGCGUGCACCCAUCUCCACGAGGAAGGAGAGCGCGCAUCGCCCCCACGCUCCUCAUUCAGGGUCGCUGGCCCCGACGCCGUCGCAGUGGGCCUCUUCCUCUCCAGCAUCUCUCCGCCGGCCGCAUCCGGGAUGGCCUCGACCUCCUGCUGCUAGCUGCUGGUGCUGGCUGUAGCUUGAACAGGAGCAGAAAAAUUGCAUCGAGGUAGCAGGUGGAUGAUGGUACUGGUGCCUUUCUCUUGAAUUGUUGCUGGUGAUGGCUGCAAUUGGAAGGAGUGUUUUUUUUAUUUCUCUCCUUCCAAUUCUGCAAUUGUGCCUCCCCUAUGCGUGAUGAUUUUGUUUCUUAGCACAAGGUACAUCGUGGCUUGGGUUGAUCUGCUGUGAUAGUUAGUAGAGAUGAUAGUAACGAGUAUAAACUCUCUUGAAUGGGUAGUUCAUAGUAUAGUGGUAAGUAUACUAUGAUUAUAUUCAUCUAACACAUGGCAAAAAGGAGACUGCAUUAUGAAG
RNAcentral lists this ribosomal RNA (805 nucleotides) under Triticum aestivum (bread wheat). RNAcentral's name for it is "partial small subunit ribosomal RNA". The record is from RNAcentral. Lineage: Eukaryota; Viridiplantae; Streptophyta; Magnoliopsida; Poales; Poaceae.